RNAcentral lists this ribosomal RNA (116 nucleotides) under bacterium. The record is from RNAcentral.
CUCGGUGAUUUAGCUUACUGUGACCUACCCGAUCCCAUUCCGAACUCGGAAGUAAAGACGGUAAGUCCUGAUGAUACUUGCUACUUAGGUAGUCGGGAAAGUAGGGUUUGCCGGGA